GACGAACGCUGGCGGCGCGCCUAACACAUGCAAGUCGAGCGAUGAAAUUUUAACCGAUCUCUUCGGAGAGAAGAUAAAAUGGAUUAGCGGCGGACGGGUGAGUAACACGUGAGAAACCUGCCUUUCACAAGGGGAUAGCCUCGGGAAACCGGGAUUAAUACCCUAUGACACAUUUCCUUCGCAUGGAAGAAAUGUUAAAACUCCGGUGGUGAAAGAUGGUCUCGCGCCUGAUUAGCUAGUUGGUGGGGUAACGGCCCACCAAGGCCAUGAUCAGUAACCGGCCUGAGAGGGUGACCGGUCACAUUGGAACUGAGACACGGUCCAAACUCCUACGGGAGGCAGCAGUGGGGAAUAUUGCACAAUGGAGGAAACUCUGAUGCAGCGACGCCGCGUGAGCGAUGAAGGCUUUCGAGUCGUAAAGCUCUGUCCUAUGGGAAGAUAAUGACGGUACCAUAGGAGGAAGCCCCGGCUAACUACGUG
Molecule: ribosomal RNA, 480 nt
Filed under: uncultured bacterium
Lineage: Bacteria
Description: partial 16S ribosomal RNA
Rfam family: Bacterial small subunit ribosomal RNA
Source: RNAcentral